RNAcentral lists this unclassified non-coding RNA (348 nucleotides) under uncultured fungus. Its description in RNAcentral is "sequence contains ITS1". Lineage: Eukaryota; Fungi. The record is from RNAcentral.
CAAUCCGAGAAUUUCACCUCUAGCGCCGCAAUACUAAUGCCCCCGUCUGUCCCUCUUAAUCAUUACUUCGGCACCGAAGACCAACAAAAUAGAACCGAAGUCCUAUUCUAUUAUUCCAUGCAUGAUUAUUCGGGCAGUUGCCUGCGUUUAGCACUCUAAUUUGUUCAAAGUAAACGAACGGAUCGCUGAUGACACUCGAUUAAGAGCACACAUCAGACAAAUCCGCAUUUAACUCAGUUAAACGAUAACCACCGUUAAGGUGGACCGCCUAACGUGAGUCGAGAUCCAACUACGAGCUUUUUAACCGCAACAACUUUAGUAUACGCUAUUGGAGCUGGAAUUACCGCG